This 595-nucleotide ribosomal RNA is filed under the name Microbacterium sp. RNAcentral describes it as "bacterial SSU rRNA". It matches the Rfam family "Bacterial small subunit ribosomal RNA", at positions 217 to 824 of the family's 1533-position model. The record is from RNAcentral. Lineage: Bacteria; Bacillati; Actinomycetota; Actinomycetes; Micrococcales; Microbacteriaceae.
GGUCAGGGAUGAGCUCGCGGCCUAUCAGCUUGUUGGUGAGGUAAUGGCUCACCAAGGCGUCGACGGGUAGCCGGCCUGAGAGGGUGACCGGCCACACUGGGACUGAGACACGGCCCAGACUCCUACGGGAGGCAGCAGUGGGGAAUAUUGCACAAUGGGCGCAAGCCUGAUGCAGCAACGCCGCGUGAGGGACGACGGCCUUCGGGUUGUAAACCUCUUUUAGCAGGGAAGAAGCGAAAGUGACGGUACCUGCAGAAAAAGCACCGGCUAACUACGUGCCAGCAGCCGCGGUAAUACGUAGGGUGCAAGCGUUAUCCGGAAUUAUUGGGCGUAAAGAGCUCGUAGGCGGUUUGUCGCGUCUGCUGUGAAACCCCGAGGCUCAACCUCGGGCCUGCAGUGGGUACGGGCAGACUAGAGUGCGGUAGGGGAGAUUGGAAUUCCUGGUGUAGCGGUGGAAUGCGCAGAUAUCAGGAGGAACACCGAUGGCGAAGGCAGAUCUCUGGGCCGUAACUGACGCUGAGGAGCGAAAGGGUGGGGAGCAAACAGGCUUAGAUACCCUGGUAGUCCACCCCGUAAACGUUGGGAACUAGUUGUG